AUAAACAUAAUCAUAAUCAUGACCCCUCUGUGGGAUCUCAUCAAUGCCCCAAUGGGCGAUACAUCAUAAGUUGAGUUGGUUUGCAUAAUCAUCAUAAAAUAUCUAAAAUCAUGUAUUAAAAGGGAUAUCUUCUACAUAUAGUCAAGCACAACCUCUAAUCCUCAAAAUCAUUACAUGACUAAAACUGUACUUCUGAAUAACAUUAAUACAUUUAUCAUGUUCACACUAUCUAUUACAAACACUUGACUUCAUUACUCUUACGGAUCUCCUGGUCUACCCUGUACCUGCAAUCCUGGGGAAAAUGGGAGAGGGGUGAGCUACUAGAGCCCAGUGAGCAGAAUAAUAAAAACAUUUAAAUCAUAUGGCAUCAUGGAAUGCAUCACAUCACAGCUAAUCACAUCAAGGAUGAACUUGUCACCAAUAGCCCUCUACAUAGUCCAACUGUGCCAGAACGUAGAAUGGGUCCUGGUCUUUCCCUUAC
RNAcentral lists this long non-coding RNA (481 nucleotides) under Manihot esculenta (cassava). RNAcentral describes it as "long non-coding RNA (MESC_LNC009429)". The record is from RNAcentral. Lineage: Eukaryota; Viridiplantae; Streptophyta; Magnoliopsida; Malpighiales; Euphorbiaceae.